CCUACGGGUGGCAGCAGUAGGGAAUAUUGCUCAAUGGGGGAAACCCUGAAGCAGCAACGCCGCGUGGAGGAUGAAGGUUUUCGGAUUGUAAACUCCUUUUGUUAGAGAAGAUAAUGACGGUAUCUAGCGAAUAAGCACCGGCUAAAUCCGUGCCAGCAGCCGAGGUAAUACGGAGGGUGCAAGUAUUACCCGGAAUCGCUGGCGUAAAGCGCACGUAGGGGGGAUAGCAAGUCCGAUGUGAAACCCUAGGGUCUAACCAUAGAACUGCAUUUGAAACUGGUAUUCUAGAGUUUGGGAGAGGUAGGUGGAAUUCGUGGUGUAGGGGUAAAAUCCGUAGAGAUCAAGAGGAAUACUCAUUGCGAAGGCGACCUGCUAGAACAUAACUGACGCUGAUGCGCGAAAGCGUGGGGAGCAAACAGGAUUAGAUACCCCUGUAGUC
RNAcentral lists this ribosomal RNA (439 nucleotides) under uncultured bacterium. Its description in RNAcentral is "partial 16S ribosomal RNA". It matches the Rfam family "Bacterial small subunit ribosomal RNA", at positions 338 to 795 of the family's 1533-position model. The record is from RNAcentral.